AUUAGGAAUCUUGCGCAAUGGGCGAAAGCCUGACGCAGCGACGUCGCGUGAAGGAUGAAAUCUUUCGGGAUGUAAACUUCUUUUACCAAGGAAGAAUAAUGACGGUACUUGGUGAAUAAGCCCCGGCUAACUACGUGCCAGCAGCCGCGGUAAUACGUAGGGGGCGAGCGUUGUCCGAAGUUACUGGGCGUAAAGAGCGCGUAGGCGGGUUCUUAAGUGAGGGGUGAAAGGUUCGGGCUCAACCCGGACACUGCCUUUCAUACUGGGAACCUUGAGUGCGGGAGAGGCGAGUGGAAUGGUCGGUGUAGCGGUGAAAUGCGUAGAUAUCGAUCGGAACACCCAUGGCGAAGGCAGCUCGCUGGCCUGUAACUGACGCUGAGGCGCGAAAGCGUGGGGAGCAAACAGG
RNAcentral lists this ribosomal RNA (406 nucleotides) under uncultured Armatimonadales bacterium. RNAcentral's name for it is "bacterial SSU rRNA". It matches the Rfam family "Bacterial small subunit ribosomal RNA", at positions 354 to 776 of the family's 1533-position model. Lineage: Bacteria; Bacillati; Armatimonadota; Armatimonadia; Armatimonadales. The record is from RNAcentral.